RNAcentral lists this transfer RNA (83 nucleotides) under Halosaccharopolyspora lacisalsi. RNAcentral describes it as "Saccharopolyspora lacisalsi tRNA-OTHER". The record is from RNAcentral. Lineage: Bacteria; Bacillati; Actinomycetota; Actinomycetes; Pseudonocardiales; Pseudonocardiaceae.
GCCAGACCAACGAUCCAGGUAAGUCGCUCGUCUGAAAUGACCUCCGGGGGCGGGUGUCGCAGGUUCGAGUCCUGCCGAGGGCA